RNAcentral lists this ribosomal RNA (301 nucleotides) under uncultured bacterium. RNAcentral describes it as "partial 16S ribosomal RNA". It matches the Rfam family "Bacterial small subunit ribosomal RNA", at positions 509 to 807 of the family's 1533-position model. The record is from RNAcentral.
CAGCCGCCGCGGUAAAACGAACCGUGCGAACGUUAUUCGGAAUUACUGGGCUUAAAGCGCGUGUAGGCGGGCCGCCACGUCGGUUGCUGAAAUCCCCCGGCUCAACCGGGGAAGUGGCAUCGAUACGAGCGGCCUUGAGGGGGGUAGGGGGAUCUGGAACUUCCGGUGGAGCGGUGAAAUGCGUUGAGAUCGGAAGGAACGCCCGUGGCGAAAGCGAGGUCCUGGACCCUUUCUGACGCUGAGACGCGAAAGCCAGGGGAGCGAACGGGAUUAGAUACCCCCGUAGUCCCUGUCUCUUAUA